UACGUAGGGUGCGAGCGUUAAUCGGAAUUACUGGGCGUAAAGUGUGCGCAGGCGGCCGCGCAAGUCGAGUGUGAAAGCCCCGAGCUUAACUUGGGAAUUGCGCUCGAAACUACGUGGCUGGAGUGUGGCAGAGGAAGGUGGAAUUCCACGUGUAGCGGUGAAAUGCGUAGAGAUCCGGAAGAACACCGGUGGCGAAGGCGGUCUGCUGGGCAGUUGCUGACACUGAGGCGCGACAGCGUGGGGAGCAAACAGG
Molecule: ribosomal RNA, 253 nt
Filed under: uncultured bacterium
Lineage: Bacteria
Description: partial 16S ribosomal RNA
Rfam family: Bacterial small subunit ribosomal RNA
Source: RNAcentral